ACUGACACGCUGUCCUUUCCCUAUUAACACUAAAGGACACUAGAAGAGACCCUUUCGAUUUAAGGCUGUUUUGCUUGUCCAGCCUAUUCUUUUUACUGGCUUGGGUCUGUCGCGGUGCCUGAAGCUGUCCCCGAGCCACGCUUCCUGCUUUCCCGGGCUUGCUGCUUGCGUGCGCUUGCUGUGGGCAGCUUGUGACAACUGGGCGCUGUGACUUUGCUGCGUGUCAGACGUUUUUCCCGAUUUCCCCGAGGUGUUGUCACACCUGUCCCGGUUGGAAUGGUGGAGCCAGCUGUGGUUGAGGGCCACCUAUUUCGGCUCACUUUUUUUUUUUUCUCUUGGAGUCCCGAACCUCCGCUCUUUUCUCUUCCCGGUCUUUCUUCCAUAUGCCUCCCGAGUGCAUUUCUUUUUUUUUUUUUUGUUUUUUUUUUUUUUUGGGGGAGGUGGAGACCCCGAGUACUUCUCCUGUCUGCGGUGUCCAAGUGUUCAUGCCACGUGCCUCCCGAGUGCACUUUUUUUGUGGCAGUCGCUCGUUCUGUUCUCUUGUUCUGUGUCUGCCCGUAUCCGUAACUGUCUUGCCCCGCGUGUAAGACAUUCCUAUCUCGCUUGUUUCUCCCGAUUGCGCGUCGUUGCUCACUCUUAGAUCGAUGUGGUGCUCCGGAGUUCUCUUCGGGCCAGGGCCUAAGCCGCGCCAGGCGAGGGACGGACAUUCAUGGCGAAUGGCGGCCGCUCUUCUCGUUCUGCCAGCGGGCCCCUCGUCUCUCCACCCCAUCCGUCUGCCGGUGGUGUGUGGAAGGCAGGGGUGCGGCUCUCCGGCCCGAGCGCUGCCCCGCGCGCACUUUUCUCAGUGGUUCGCGUGGUCCUUGUGGAUGUGUGAGGCGCCCGGUUGUGCCCUCACGUGUUUCACUUUGGUCGUGUCUCGCUUGACCAUGUUCCCAGAGUUGGUGGAUGUGGCCGGUGGCGUUGCAUACCCUUCCCGUCUGGUGUGUGCACGCGCUGUUUCUUGUAAGCCUCGAGGUGCUCCUGGAGCGUUCCAGGUUUGUCUCCUAGGUGCCUGCUUCUGAGCUGGUGGUGGCGCUUCCCAUUCCCUGGUGUGCCUCCGGUGCUCCGUCUGGCUGUGUGCCUUCCCGUUUGUGUCCGAGAAGCCCGUGAGAGGGGGGUCGAGGAGAGAAGGAGGGGCAAGAGCCCCCUUCUUCGUCGGGUGAGCGCCCACCCCGCGCACUAGUACGCCUGUGCGUAGGGCUGGUGCUGAGCGGUCGCGGCUGGCCUUGGAAAGUUUCUCGAGACUCAUUGCUUUCCCGUGGGGAGCUUUGAGAGGCCUGGCUUUCGGGGGGGACCGGUUGCAGGGUCUCCCCUGUCCGCGGAUGCUCAGAAUGCCCUUGGAAGAGAACCUUCCUGUUGCCGCAGACCCCCCCGCGCGGUCGCCCGCGUGUUGGUCUUCUGGUUUCCCUGUGUGCUCGUUGCAUGCAUCCUCCCUCGGUUGCCGGGGCUCGUCGGGGUUUUGGGUCCGUCCCGCCCUCAGUGAGAAAGUUUCCUUCUCUAGCUAUCUUCUGGAAAGGGUGCGGGCUUCUUACGGUCUCGAGGGGUCUCUCCCGAAUGGUCCCCUCGAGGGCUCGCCCCCUGACCGCCUCCCGCGCGCGCAGCGUUUGCUCUCUCGUCUACCGCGGCCCGCGCCUCCCCGCUCCGAGUUCGGGGAGGGAUCACGCGGGGCAGAGCCUGUCUGUCGUCCUGCCGUUGCUGCGGAGCCAUGUGGCUCCGGUUGUGUGGUGGUGGCUGGGGAAAGGGCUCCGUGCACACCCCCGCGUGCGCGGUACUUUCCUCCCCUCCUGAGGGCCGCCGUGCGGGACGGGGUGUGGGUAGGCGACGGUGGGCUCCUGGGUCCCCACCCGUCUUCCCGUGCCUCACCCGUGCCUUCCGUCGCGUGCGUCCCUCUCGCUCGCGUCCACGACUUUGGCCGCUCCCGCGCCGCGGGCCUGCACCGCGCGUGGUGCGUGCUGUGUGCU
RNAcentral lists this unclassified non-coding RNA (2000 nucleotides) under Mus musculus (house mouse). Its description in RNAcentral is "partial external transcribed spacer". Lineage: Eukaryota; Metazoa; Chordata; Mammalia; Rodentia; Muridae. The record is from RNAcentral.